CCUACGGGAGGCAGCAGUGGGGAAUAUUGGACAAUGGGGGGAACCCUGAUCCAGCCAUGCCGCGUGUGUGAGGAAGGCCCUCGGGUUGUAAAGCACUUUCAGUGAGGAAGAACGCCUGGUGGUUAAUACCCAUCAGGAAAGACAUCACUCACAGAAGAAGCACCGGCUAACUCCGUGCCAGCAGCCGCGGUAAUACGGAGGGUGCGAGCGUUAAUCGGAAUUACUGGGCGUAAAGCGCGCGUAGGUGGCUUGAUAAGCCGGUUGUGAAAGCCCCGGGCUCAACCUGGGAACGGCAUCCGGAACUGUCAAGCUAGAGUGCAGGAGAGGAAGGUAGAAUUCCCGGUGUAGCGGUGAAAUGCGUAGAGAUCGGGAGGAAUACCAGUGGCGAAGGCGGCCUUCUGGACUGACACUGACACUGAGGUGCGAAAGCGUGGGUAGCAAACAGGAUUAGAUACCCUUGUAGUC
RNAcentral lists this ribosomal RNA (465 nucleotides) under Vreelandella stevensii. RNAcentral describes it as "partial 16S ribosomal RNA". It matches the Rfam family "Bacterial small subunit ribosomal RNA", at positions 338 to 795 of the family's 1533-position model. The record is from RNAcentral. Lineage: Bacteria; Pseudomonadati; Pseudomonadota; Gammaproteobacteria; Oceanospirillales; Halomonadaceae.